This 497-nucleotide ribosomal RNA is filed under the name uncultured bacterium. RNAcentral describes it as "partial 16S ribosomal RNA". It matches the Rfam family "Bacterial small subunit ribosomal RNA", at positions 28 to 507 of the family's 1533-position model. The record is from RNAcentral.
GAUGAACGCUGGCGGCGUGCCUAAUACAUGCAAGUCGAGCGGACGGACGAAAAGCUUGCUUCUCAGUCGUUAGCGGCGGACGGGUGAGUAACACGUGGACAACCUACCUAGUAGACGGGGAUAACUCCGAGAAACCGGAGCUAAUACCGGAUAACACGAUGAACCGCAUGGCGCAUCAGUGAAAGACGGUCCAAGUGGCACCUACAGAUGGAGCCGCGCGGCAUUAGCUAGUUGGGAAGGUAACGGCUUACCAAGGCAACGAUGCGUAGCCGACCUGAGAGGGUGAUCGGCCACACUGGGACUGAGACACGGCCCAGACUCCUACGGGAGGCAGCAGUAGGGAAUCUUCCGCAAUGGGCGAAAGCCUGACGGAGCAACGCCGCGUGAGCGAUGAAGGCCUUCGGGUCGUAAAGCUCUGUUGUUAGGGAAGAACAUGUAUCGCAGUAACUGGCGUUACCUUGACGGUACCUAACCAGAAAGCCACGGCUAACUACGUG